RNAcentral lists this long non-coding RNA (498 nucleotides) under Gossypium barbadense (sea-island cotton). RNAcentral's name for it is "long non-coding RNA (GBAR_LNC001956)". The record is from RNAcentral. Lineage: Eukaryota; Viridiplantae; Streptophyta; Magnoliopsida; Malvales; Malvaceae.
AAAAAGAAAAGAAAAACCCUUCGAUUUUAGGGUCUUUGAAAAGGAGUCACCUUUCAUCGAAGGUGACGGCCUUGGCCAUUCACGGCAACGGAACGCGAAUUGUCAGGUACAGUUUUUAAACUUUCCCUUUUUAUUUUAUGUUUUAUUUACAAAAUAAAUUCGUAAGAAAAUAGAAAAAAAUCACCUUUGAAAUUUUCUAUUCUGUUGUUUUUUGAUUGCUUUUUGUGUGUGUAAAAAAAUACAUGAUGGAUCUGGCUUUUAUAGUAGAAUAAUACAUUAGAUCUUGAUUUUUCUAUGUAUUUUCAAUGUUUCUACUGUUUCUUCUACGUUAUUUCUCUGCUGUUGCUGUCAUUUUUCGUUCUUUUUGCAGGUAUCAGCGUGCGGUCAACGGAGAGGAGAGAAGGGUUGCCUUUGCCAUUUUGGUGCAAUGGUGCCAGUGGCGUUAGGCCUCGAGACAAGGUUCCUCGGGCGCGCGAGAGGAGCGGCGGCUAAGGUUUU